This 175-nucleotide ribosomal RNA is filed under the name uncultured bacterium. Its description in RNAcentral is "partial 16S ribosomal RNA". It matches the Rfam family "Bacterial small subunit ribosomal RNA", at positions 1326 to 1500 of the family's 1533-position model. The record is from RNAcentral.
CUGGAAUCGCUAGUAAUCGCGGAUCAGCACGCCGCGGUGAAUACGUUCCCGGGCCUUGUACACACCGCCCGUCACACCACGGAAGUUGGGAGUACCCAAAGUAGGUUGCCUAACCGCAAGGAGGGCGCUUCCUAAGGUAAGACCGAUGACUGGGGUGAAGUCGUAACAAGGUAUC